ACAAGUACCGUGAGGGAAAGUUGCAAAGGACUUUGAAGAGAGAGUUCAAGAGAACGUGAAAUCCCAAGAGUAGAAGCAGAGCGAGUUGAAAUUGCUAAACGAUGAUAUAAUUAGGCUAUUGGCCGGUUAUGGAGUCGUGGUGCUGCGCUGGCUGCACUGUACGAGCUUUCAUUGACUAGUAAAUGUUGCCCAUUCUUCGGAUUGGUGUCUUGUUUAUUGGAAUAGCUUGCCGUUACAGUGUUUAACUUGAUAUCUUCGGAUAUGAGCCGGUGUUAAUGUCAAUUACCGCUCUGGCCCGUCUUGAAACACGGACCGAGGAGUGUUACUUAUGCGCGAGUCAGAGAGUUAUAUUAUUCUCAACGGCGUAAUGAAAGUAAAGGUUAAUUAAUUAACUGAGAUGAGAGGUUAGUCUCUUGUAGAUUAACUGCAUCAUCGCCCUGUCUCGAAAGCUUGCUUUUAGGCAGAGGUUGAGCGUAUAGGUAGCGACCCGAAAGAUGGUGAACUAUGCUUGAGCAGGAUGAAGCCAGAGGAAACUCUGGUGGAAGUC
This 547-nucleotide ribosomal RNA is filed under the name Chiloplacus magnus. RNAcentral's name for it is "LSU rRNA". It matches the Rfam family "Eukaryotic large subunit ribosomal RNA", at positions 344 to 875 of the family's 3401-position model. Lineage: Eukaryota; Metazoa; Nematoda; Chromadorea; Rhabditida; Cephalobidae. The record is from RNAcentral.